UAGGGAAUCUUCGGCAAUGGACGGAAGUCUGACCGAGCAACGCCGCGUGAGUGAAGAAGGUUUUCGGAUCGUAAAGCUCUGUUGUUAGAGAAGAACGUUGGUAGGAGUGGAAAAUCUACCAAGUGACGGUAACUAACCAGAACGGGACGGCUAACUACGUGCCAGCAGCCGCGGUAAUACGUAGGUCCCGAGCGUUGUCCGGAUUUAUUGGGCGUAAAGCGAGCGCAGGCGGUUCUUUAAGUCUGAAGUUAAAGGCAGUGGCUUAACCAUUGUACGCUUUGGAAACUGGAGGACUUGAGUGCAGAAGGGGAGAGUGGAAUUCCAUGUGUAGCGGUGAAAUGCGUAGAUAUAUGGAGGAACACCGGUGGCGAAAGCGGCUCUCUGGUCUGUAACUGACGCUGAGGCUCGAAAGCGUGGGGAGCAAACAGGAUUAGAUACCCUGGUAGUCCACGCCGUAAACGAUGAGUGCUAGGUGUUAGGCCCUUUCCGGGGCUUAGUGCCGCAGCUAACGCAUUAAGCACUCCGCCUGGGGAGUACGACCGCAAGGUUG
This 550-nucleotide ribosomal RNA is filed under the name uncultured bacterium. Its description in RNAcentral is "bacterial SSU rRNA". It matches the Rfam family "Bacterial small subunit ribosomal RNA", at positions 355 to 896 of the family's 1533-position model. The record is from RNAcentral.